Molecule: ribosomal RNA, 305 nt
Filed under: uncultured bacterium
Lineage: Bacteria
Description: bacterial SSU rRNA
Rfam family: Bacterial small subunit ribosomal RNA
Source: RNAcentral
AGUCGCCUACGGGGCGCAGCAGUGGGGAAUAUUGCACAAUGGGGGAAACCCUGAUGCAGCAACGCCGCGUGAGUGAAGAAGUCAUUCGUGAUGUAAAGCUCUAUCAGCAGGGAAGAAAAUGACGGUACCUGAGUAAGAAGCCCCGGCUAACUACGUGCCAGCAGCCGCGGUAAUACGUAGGUGGCAAGCGUUGUCCGGAUUUACUGGGUGUAAAGGGCGUGCAGCCGGGAGUGCAAGUCAGAUGUGAAAUCCCGCGGCUCAACCGCGGAACUGCAUUUGAAACUGUGCUUCUUGAGUGCUGGAGG